This 184-nucleotide small RNA is filed under the name Pan troglodytes (chimpanzee). Its description in RNAcentral is "processed transcript". Lineage: Eukaryota; Metazoa; Chordata; Mammalia; Primates; Hominidae. The record is from RNAcentral.
GGCGCGGCGAUGAGAGAUCCGUGUGCUGAUGUGGAUGAUCUCUGUCUUCAUGUUGCCUGGUAGCCCUUUAAAGUCCCCCUGUUGGCCACUCGCAGUGGAAGCUUCUGGAGCUGAAGGGAAAGAAUCUCCUGAUUGACGACGAUGAUGAUUUCAGUACAAUCAGAGAUGACACUGGAAAAGAAAA